This 345-nucleotide unclassified non-coding RNA is filed under the name soil metagenome. RNAcentral describes it as "partial contains 5.8S ribosomal RNA, internal transcribed spacer 2, and large subunit ribosomal RNA". The stretch from base 1 to 119 matches the Rfam family "5.8S ribosomal RNA", at positions 35 to 154 of the family's 154-position model. The record is from RNAcentral.
GAUGAAGAACGUAGCGAAAUGCGAUACGUAAUGUGAAUUGCAAAUUCAGUGAAUCAUCGAGUCUUUGAACGCACAUUGCGCCCCCUGGUAUUCCGGGGGACAUGCCUGUCCGAGCGUCAUUGCUGCCCUCAAGCACGGCUUGUGUGUUGGGCCCCGUCCUCCGAUCCCGGGGGACGGGCCCGAAAGGCAGCGGCGGCACCGCGUCCGGUCCUCGAGCGUAUGGGGCUUUGUCACCCGCUCUGUAGGCCCGGCCGGCGCUUGCCGAUCAACCCAAAUUUUUAUCCAGGUUGACCUCGGAUCAGGUAGGGAUACCCGCUGAACUUAAGCAUAUCAAUAAGCGGAGGA